Molecule: ribosomal RNA, 460 nt
Filed under: uncultured bacterium
Lineage: Bacteria
Description: partial 16S ribosomal RNA
Rfam family: Bacterial small subunit ribosomal RNA
Source: RNAcentral
CCUACGGGAGGCAGCAGUGAGGAAUAUUGGUCAAUGGGCUUACGCCUGAACCAGCCAAGUCGCGUGAGGGAAGACUGCCCUAUGGGUUGUAAACCUCUUUUGUCAGGGAGCAACGCCGGCUACGUGUAGCCGGACUGAGAGUACCUGAAGAAAAAGCAUCGGCUAACUCCGUGCCAGCAGCCGCGGUAAUACGGAGGAUGCGAGCGUUAUCCGGAUUUAUUGGGUUUAAAGGGUGCGUAGGCGGAAUGCCAAGUCAGCGGUAAAAUCGCGGGGCUCAACCUCGCUCCGCCGUUGAAACUGGCAAACUGGAGUGUGUGAGAGGAUAGUGGAAUUCCAGGUGUAGGAGUGAAAUCCGUAGAUAUCUGGAGGAACAUCAGUGGCGAAGGCGACUAUCUGGCACAUAACUGACGCUGAGGAGCGAAAGCGUGGGUAGCAAACAGGAUUAGAUACCCCUGUAGUC